UGAAUACGAGACGCUACGGCGUCGAAGCAGUCUAUGUCAUACUUCCAAGAAAAGCUUGCACUGUCAUAAACAAAUAAUGCCUGUACCAUAACCGACACAGGUGGGUAGGUAGAGUAUACUAAGGGGCGCGAGAUAACUCUCUCUAAGGAACUCGGCAAAAUGACUCCGUAACUUCGGGAGAAGGAGUGCCUUAUUUAUAAGGUUGCAAUAACAAGAUCCAAGCAACUGUUUAUCAAAAACACAGGUCUCCGCUAAGUCGUAAGACGAUGUAUGGGGGCUGACGCCUGCCCAGUGCCAGAAGGUUAAAGAAGUUGGUUAGCAUUAGCGAAGCUGAUAACUGAAGCCCUGGUGAACGGCGGCCGUAACAAUAACGGUCCUAAGGUAGCGUAAUUCCUUGUCGGGUAAGUUCCGACCCGCACGAAAGGCGUAAUGAUUUGGAUACUGUCUCAGAGAGGGGCUCGGUGAAAUAGACUUGUCUGUGAAGAUGCGGACUACCUGCACCAGGACAGAAAGACCCUAUGAAGCUUUACUGUAACUUGAAAUUGAAAUUGGACUUUAUUUGCGCAGUAUAGGUGGGAGGCAUUGAUAAUAUUCUUGCGGGAAUGUUGGAGCCAUCAGUGAGAUACCACUCUUGUAAUGUUAGAUUUCUAACUUUGGAUCAUUAUCUGGUCAAAGGACAGUUUCAGGCGGGCAGUUUGACUGGGGCGGUCGCCUCCUAAAUGGUAACGGAGGCGCACAAAGGUUUCCUCUGAACGGGUAGAAAUCGUAUCUAGAGUGUAAAGGCAUAAGGAAGCUUGACUGUGAGACCUACAAGUCGAGCAGGGACGAAAGUCGGUCUUAGUGAUCUGACGGUGCUGAGUGGAAAGGCCGUCACUCAACGGAUAAAAGUUACUCUAAGGAUAACAGGCUGAUCUCCCCCAAGAGUUCACAUCGACGGGGAGGUUUGGCACCUCGAUGUCGGCUCAUCGCAUCCUGGGGCGGUAGUACGUCCCAAGGGUUGGGCUGUUCGCCCAUGAAAGCGGUACGCGAGCUGGGUUCAGAACGUCGUGAGACAGUUCGGUCCAUAUCCGGUGUAGGCGUUAGAAUAUUGAGAGGAGCCUUCUUUAGUACGAGAGGACCGAGAAGGACAUACCUCUGGUGUACCAGUUAUCGUGCCAACGGUAAACGCUGGGUAGCUAUGUAUGGAGAGGAUAACCGCUGAAAGCAUCUAAGUGGGAAGCCCACCUCAAGAUAAGUAUUCU
RNAcentral lists this ribosomal RNA (1241 nucleotides) under metagenome. Its description in RNAcentral is "bacterial LSU rRNA". It matches the Rfam family "Bacterial large subunit ribosomal RNA", at positions 1564 to 2814 of the family's 2925-position model. The record is from RNAcentral.